Molecule: ribosomal RNA, 442 nt
Filed under: uncultured bacterium
Lineage: Bacteria
Description: partial 16S ribosomal RNA
Rfam family: Bacterial small subunit ribosomal RNA
Source: RNAcentral
CCUACGGGAGGCAGCAGUAGGGAAUCUUUCACAAUGGGCGAAAGCCUGAUGGAGCAACGCCGCGUGCAGGAUGAAGGCCUUCGGGUUGUAAACUGCUUUUAUAAGCGAGAAAUAUGAUGGUAACUUAUGAAUAAGGAUCGGCUAACUACGUGCCAGCAGCCGCGGUCAUACGUAGGAUCCGAGCAUUAUCCGGAGUGACUGGGUGUAAAGAGUUGCGUAGGUGGCAUAAUAAGUAGCUAGUGAAAUCUGGUGGCUCAACCAUUCAGACUAUUAGCUAAACUGUUAAGCUCGAGACCGUUAGGGGUAACUGGAAUUUCUAGUGUAGGAGUGAAAUCCGUAGAUAUUAGAAGGAACACCAAUAGCGUAGGCAGGUUGCUGGACCGCGACUGACGUUGAGGCUCGAAAGCGUGGGGAGCGAACAGGAUUAGAUACCCCAGUAGUC